Molecule: long non-coding RNA, 751 nt
Filed under: Phoenix dactylifera (date palm)
Lineage: Eukaryota; Viridiplantae; Streptophyta; Magnoliopsida; Arecales; Arecaceae
Description: long non-coding RNA (PDAC_LNC018624)
Source: RNAcentral
CGUGGCAUCCGUCCCAAAUCCCAGCUCUUCCGUGAUCUUCUCUUCCGCGCUCCACCCAGCAGUCAGCAUCCAAGCUCCCGCUUCCAAUCCAGCGCCCAAAGAAGGAAACCAUCUCAUCUUCUUCCGCGUCUGCCAUCUUCCUUCCCCAUUUGAGCAUUCCGGCCAUGGCAUCCUCUCCAAAUCCUCCGUGAUCCACGGCUCCUCCCAGCAAAGAUCCCAGAUUACUUCCCUCUUUCGUGGUCCCAGCAGCACCCGAAGAAGGAAGCCCGCGUCCCCACCUUCCGCUUCAGCUCCCAGCAUCGCGCCCGAGCCGGAUUCGAAAUCCCUCUUCCGUGAUCCGGCGAUCCCGCACCGCGUCCGCGCCCCCCUUCCGUGAUUCCAUUUCAAGUGACUCCGCGGCUAUAAGAGGAGAAGGAGGAAAAGGAGGAGGGGGGAGCUCGGUGCUGGGUUGAGGCAAAGAAACAGGGUGUGCUCGGUGGAAUCCAAGGAGGAGGAGGUGAGCUCGGUUGAGAAGAAAAACAGAGCAUUGCUCUGUUCUUUGGAAGAAGAGAGGAAUAAAAAAAAAAAGAGAGAUAUAGUAUUUUAUGUUGAACUUCCACCGUGGGAGAGAAAGGGAGAUGUUUUCUUUUCUUUAUUUUUGUUAUUUCUUUCCUUUAUUUUAAUUGCAGAAGAAAGGUAGCAUCAAGCUACCGGUAUUCAUUUCUACCAUUGUAAUCAAUUUAGUUUUCUAAAUCUAUCAUUUCUUUUUUUU